UACAGAGGUGGCAAGCGUUGUUCGAAAUUACUGGACGUAAAGGGCGCAUAGGCGGUUCGUUAAGUCCUGUGUAAAAUCCCCCGGCUCAACUAGGGAACUGCACAGGAAACUAGCGGGCUUGAGUUCGGGAGAGGGAAGCGGAAUUCCGGGUGUAGCGGUGAAAUGCGUAGAUAUCCGGAGGAACACCGGUGGCGAAGGCGGCUUCCUGGACCGACACUGACGCUGAGGCGCGAAAGCUAGGGGAGCAAACGGG
RNAcentral lists this ribosomal RNA (253 nucleotides) under uncultured bacterium. Its description in RNAcentral is "partial 16S ribosomal RNA". It matches the Rfam family "Bacterial small subunit ribosomal RNA", at positions 524 to 776 of the family's 1533-position model. The record is from RNAcentral.